CAGUCGCCGCGGUAAGACGGAGGGUGCUAGCGUUGUUCGGAAUCACUGGGCGUAAAGGGCGCGUAGGCGGCCUGUUAAGUCGGAUGUGAAAGCCCGGGGCUCAACCCCGGAACUGCAUCCGAGACUGGCAGGCUUGAGACCGGGAGAGGAGGGUGGAAUAUCCAGUGUAGAGGUGAAAUUCGUAGAUAUUGGAUGGAACACCGGUGGCGAAAGCGGCUCUCUGGCCCGGAUCUGACGCUGAGGCGCGAAAGCGUGGGGAGCAAACAGGAUUAGAUACCCGAGUAGUCCCUGUCUCUUAUAU
RNAcentral lists this ribosomal RNA (301 nucleotides) under uncultured bacterium. RNAcentral describes it as "partial 16S ribosomal RNA". It matches the Rfam family "Bacterial small subunit ribosomal RNA", at positions 509 to 809 of the family's 1533-position model. The record is from RNAcentral.